RNAcentral lists this ribosomal RNA (448 nucleotides) under uncultured bacterium. RNAcentral's name for it is "SSU rRNA". It matches the Rfam family "Bacterial small subunit ribosomal RNA", at positions 26 to 518 of the family's 1533-position model. The record is from RNAcentral.
AGAGCGAACGCUGGCGGCAGGCUUAACACAUGCAAGUCGAGCGGGCGGUAGCAAUACGUCAGCGGCAGACGGGUGAGUAACGCGUGGGAACAUACCUUUUGGUUCGGAACAACCCAGGGAAACUUGGGCUAAUACCGGAUAAGCCCUUACGGGGAAAGAUUUAUCGCCGAAAGAUUGGCCCGCGUCUGAUUAGCUAGUUGGUGAGGUAACGGCUCACCAAGGCGACGAUCAGUAGCUGGUCUGAGAGGAUGAUCAGCCACAUUGGGACUGAGACACGGCCCAAACUCCUACGGGAGGCAGCAGUGGGAAUAUUGGACAAUGGGCGCAAGCCUGAUCCAGCCAUGCCGCGUGAGUGAUGAAGGCCCUAGGGUUGUAAAGCUCUUUUGUGCGGGAAGAUAAUGACGGUACCGCAAGAAUAAGCCCCGGCUAACUUCGUGCCAGCAGCCGC